GACGAACGCUGGCGGCGUGCUUAACACAUGCAAGUCGAACGGUGAAGCGCCUUCCUUUUUGGUGGGUGUGGAUGAGUGGCGAACGGGUGAGUAACACGUGAGUAACCUGCCCCCUUCUUCUGGAUAACCGCAUGAAAGUGUGGCUAAUACGGGAUAUUCUGGGUCUGUCGCAUGAUGGGUCUGGGAAAGAUAUUGUUUCGGUGGGGGAUGGGCUCGCGGCCUAUCAGCUUGUUGGUGGGGUGAUGGCCUACCAAGGCGGUGACGGGUAGCCGGCCUGAGAGGGUGGACGGUCACACUGGGACUGAGACACGGCCCAGACUCCUACGGGAGGCAGCAGUGGGGAAUAUUGCACAAUGGGCGCAAGCCUGAUGCGGCGACGCCGCGUGAGGGAUGGAGGCCUUCGGGUUGUGAACCUCUUUCGCCAGUGAAGCAGGCCUGCCUCAUUUGUGGGUGGGUUGACGGUAGCUGGAUAAGAAGCGCCGGCUAACUACGUG
Molecule: ribosomal RNA, 494 nt
Filed under: uncultured bacterium
Lineage: Bacteria
Description: partial 16S ribosomal RNA
Rfam family: Bacterial small subunit ribosomal RNA
Source: RNAcentral